GCCGGAAUAGCUCAGUUGGGAGAGCUAACGAGACUGAAGUUGUUUACGCAACAAUGGUUUAAGGUCCCCCGGUUCAAUCCCGGGUUCCGGCA
This 92-nucleotide transfer RNA is filed under the name Dreissena polymorpha. Its description in RNAcentral is "tRNA-Phe". The record is from RNAcentral. Lineage: Eukaryota; Metazoa; Mollusca; Bivalvia; Myida; Dreissenidae.